ACCCCGGGAGGGGAGUGAAAUAGAUCCUGAAACCGCAUGCAUACAAAAAGUCGGAGCCGCAAGGUGACGGCGUACCUUUUGUAUAAUGGGUCAGCGACUUACAUUCAGUGGCGAGGUUAACCGAAUAGGGAAGCCGUAGAGAAAUCGAGUCCGAAUAGGGCGAAUAGUCGCUGGGUGUAGACCCGAAACCAAGUGAUCUAUCCAUGGCCAGGAUGAAGGUACCGUAACAGGUGCUGGAGGUCCGAACCGACUAGUGUUGCAAAACUAGCGGAUGAGCUGUGGAUAGGGGUGAAAGGCUAAACAAACUUGGAAAUAGCUGGUUCUCUCCGAAAACUAUUUAGGUAGUGCCUCAAGUAUUACCUGCGGGGGUAGAGCACUGUUUAGGCUAGGGGGUCAUGG
This 399-nucleotide ribosomal RNA is filed under the name Chroomonas cf. mesostigmatica. RNAcentral describes it as "partial Bacterial large subunit ribosomal RNA". It matches the Rfam family "Bacterial large subunit ribosomal RNA", at positions 523 to 932 of the family's 2925-position model. Lineage: Eukaryota; Cryptophyceae; Pyrenomonadales; Chroomonadaceae. The record is from RNAcentral.